RNAcentral lists this transfer RNA (72 nucleotides) under Bos taurus (domestic cattle). It matches the Rfam family "tRNA". From Rfam's summary of the family: Transfer RNA (tRNA) molecules are approximately 80 nucleotides in length. Their secondary structure includes four short double-helical elements and three loops (D, anti-codon, and T loops). RNAcentral also lists the same sequence under 2 other names. Lineage: Eukaryota; Metazoa; Chordata; Mammalia; Artiodactyla; Bovidae. The record is from Rfam by way of RNAcentral.
UGUUUAUAAUAUGAGUUGGUAAAGAGUCUGCCUGCAAUGCAGAAGACACAUGUUUGAUCCAUGGAUCAGCAU